This 402-nucleotide ribosomal RNA is filed under the name uncultured bacterium. RNAcentral describes it as "partial 16S ribosomal RNA". It matches the Rfam family "Bacterial small subunit ribosomal RNA", at positions 30 to 525 of the family's 1533-position model. The record is from RNAcentral.
AUUGAACGCUGGCGGCAGGCCUAACACAUGCAAGUUGAGCGAGCGGCGGACGGGUGAGUAAUGUAUGGGGACUGCCCGAUAGAGGGGGAUAACUACUGGAAACGGUAGCUAAUACCGCAUACUAUCGGAUAACCCAUAUGGGAUUAGCUAGUAGGUGAGUUAAUGGCUCACCUAGGCGACGAUCCCUAGCUGGUCUGAGAGGAUGAUCAGCCACACUGUGACUGAGACACGGCCCAGACUCCUCCGGAUGCAGCAGUGGGGAAUAUUGCAGUAUGUGCGCAAGCCUGAUGCAGCGAUGCCGCGGGUAUGAAGAAGGCCCUAGGGUUGUAAAGUACUUUCAGUCGUGAGGCGUGACCGACAGAAGAAGCACCGGCUAACUCCGUGCCAGCAGCCGCGGUAAAC